Molecule: long non-coding RNA, 545 nt
Organism: Herpailurus yagouaroundi (jaguarundi)
Lineage: Eukaryota; Metazoa; Chordata; Mammalia; Carnivora; Felidae
Exons: 3
Source: RefSeq, a predicted model, not a curated record
GGCACGCGCUCCGUUACCUGCUUCUCACUGGUUCCUUCUGGUUCUCUGUUGACACCGGAGCGCGAGCUUUUCCUAUUAACGGGGCUGUCUCCAGACUUCUCUUUCUGGAACCAAGUCCCAGUCGCCCUCAGGUGGGACUCCAACCUAUGACCCCAAGAUUCAGGGUUGCAUGUUCUUCCAACUGAGCCAACCAGCCCUUUGCAGAGCAAACAGAAAGAGACAGACCUGCGUUCCCAAAGAGAAGCCUGCUUUACAAUCCCAGCAGAGGAAGAAAGAUUUUCUCCCAGCCCAGCAACAGCCUAGCCAAUGAGAGACUGUCACACACAACUCAACCAAUGAAAAGCCACUACACUUCCGACUCCCGGUUUACUCCAAUGGACUUUUUGUUUACAACAGCUCCUCCCAAGUCCCCCACCCCCCUUUUCUCUAUGAAAGAGCCAACUUCUCCUUUGUGCUUUGGACUUGUUUGUGGUUUUGCUGUAGCUUGCGUGGCUUGAAUUGUAAUUCUCUGCUGCUCCCGAAUAAAUCAGUUUUUCUGGUAAAAU